GGCUAUCCAACAUAGUAGUAGUAUACACUUCCUUAACUUUAGCCAUUUAAAGAUAUGUUUCUAGGCUCUCUCAGAUACACGUCUUUUGGUGGCCAUAAAAGCUAGUGUUGUCUUCUUUCUCUAAUGAUUCUAGAGGGAGCUUAGGGGAUUAGUUUAAGCUAGACAACUCACAUUCAGAUGGUUAAAGUUAAGUGAAAUUAAUUCCAUUUUUGCUGCUCAUCCCCUGCUGCUGCUCAGUCUCCAGUUGAGACGCUGCAUACUCUUUAACUCUAGGACAGCUUCUAGUGAGCUAAUAAAGGAAGGAAUUUAUGAUAUCAGGAGAGGAUCAACAUCAAGAUCGUUACUCACGACAAAUGCCCUUGAAAAAACACAAGGCAGGCAGUGGGGGAGAUGCUAUGUAGACAGAAGAGUCCUGAAAUAGAAACUUGGUCCAGCAUUUCUAUGAGAUGUCAGCAAUUUUUAACUGAGCUUUGCAGGCAGAUAUUCAACCAAUUGGAACUAAUCCAUUUCCAAAAGAGGUGAAUCAAUGUCUAGCAAUUCACUAAGCCAAUUGCCCAAGUGCUGGUUGUUAGAAAUCUGUAUUUCAUUGCUUCAUGAGGGUAGAGUCCACUGGCACGCACAAGUGCAUCCAAGGAGGCAGCCCCAAAGUCUCUUCUGAGCUGACGGGAACAGGAACCAUGGCUGUCAAGCAGAACAUCUCAGGAUUUACUGACGCAGCUGGGAAGAACCGUCUUACUUUAGCCUCCGGUACGGGGAUGAAGAGUUUUUGGUGUGAGCUAACAUAUGGGUGAAUGCAAUACCUGCAAACCAGAGGAGGACUCUUCCCCGGAACACUUGGAAGGUUGGAGGCAAGAGGCAUUUCAGAAGUACCAAGGUAGAAAUGGCUGGUUGAGACACUUCCAUCUUCCCAAAUGGAGUUAUAUCAGGCUGCGAUCACUGAUCCCUCAGAAACCACCAAAUUCCAUUUCUCAUGUCGGUUUUGUUUGCUUUGGGAAAAUUGCAAAACAGCUGAUCUGAAACCCAUGAAAGUCAAGAGGAGUCUUUGA
Molecule: long non-coding RNA, 1046 nt
Organism: Struthio camelus australis
Lineage: Eukaryota; Metazoa; Chordata; Aves; Struthioniformes; Struthionidae
Source: Ensembl